ACACUGCCCCCGCCCCGCGGUUUCCUGCCCAGCGCAGGAAUGAAAAGGGAACAGCAGCGGAGGGUUGUGACCCAACCCCGCGCUGCGGCUGCCCCCGCAACUGUGAUCGGUGAAUCCGAUGCCCUCCGCCACUGGCCGCGCGCCGGGAAGGCCGCAUCGGAUGAGGACCCGAUAGCCAGGAGACCUGCCACGGAGCGAUGUGAUGC
Molecule: non-coding RNA, 206 nt
Filed under: Hylemonella gracilis
Lineage: Bacteria; Pseudomonadati; Pseudomonadota; Betaproteobacteria; Burkholderiales; Comamonadaceae
Also listed under: 1 other name
Source: RNAcentral